RNAcentral lists this transfer RNA (68 nucleotides) under Alloxysta sp. ZJUH_2016001. RNAcentral describes it as "tRNA-Leu". The record is from RNAcentral. Lineage: Eukaryota; Metazoa; Arthropoda; Insecta; Hymenoptera; Figitidae.
AUUAUUAUGGCAGAGAAGUGUCUUAAUUUUAGAAAUUAAUAAUAUAUAAUUUAAUUAUAUUAAUAAUA